Molecule: long non-coding RNA, 331 nt
Filed under: Medicago truncatula (barrel medic)
Lineage: Eukaryota; Viridiplantae; Streptophyta; Magnoliopsida; Fabales; Fabaceae
Description: long non-coding RNA (MTRU_LNC001489)
Source: RNAcentral
GUGUCUUUUAGCAAGUUAUUAUAUUAGCAUUUGUUGAAAGACACCAACUAAUUUUUAUGAAGGUGUCUUUUAGCAAAGUUAUAACUAAAAAGUGAAAAUACGUUUUCAGAUGUGGGUUGUUGAAAAACACCUUCAUAAAUUGCUUCUAGCAUAACUAUAUAUAUAUAUAUAUCUUCUGAUCCAAUCGCAACCUAUUAUAUUUACAACAACAUUUUCUCUCAAGAUGGAGAAGAGGUGUGCAUGUCCAUAGACAACAUAUUUUUCCAAUAUAAAUUUGUGAAACUUUGAUAUGAGAAUUGUGUAGGUGUCCUUUUGACAUGUGUGUUUUGGA